GUGUCAGCCGCCGCGGUAAUACAGAGGGUGCAAGCGUUAAUCAGAAUGACUGGGCGUAAAGGGCGUGUAGGUGGUUGACUAGGUUUGAUGUGAAAUCCCCGGGCUUAACCUGGGAAUUGCGUCGAAAACGGGUUGACUUGAGUGAGAUAGAGGGUUGUGGAAUUUCCGGUGUAGCGGUGAAAUGCGUAGAUAUCGGAAAGAACAUCAGUGGCGAAGGCGACAACCUGGAUCUUAACUGACACUGAGGCGCGAAGGCGUGGGGAGCAAACAGGAUUAGAAACCCGAGUAGUCC
RNAcentral lists this ribosomal RNA (292 nucleotides) under uncultured bacterium. RNAcentral's name for it is "partial 16S ribosomal RNA". It matches the Rfam family "Bacterial small subunit ribosomal RNA", at positions 505 to 796 of the family's 1533-position model. The record is from RNAcentral.